AGGUGGAUGGUGAGACCACAUCCAACAAAUAACAGGACAAAUGGGUCCGCCAGCUUAUCAACUAGACAACGACCGCCACUACUUUGUAAUUUUCCUCCAUUGCAUACUCCAACAGCCUAAUGGAAUCAUGUGAAAUAAUAUCAGUACUAACUUAAUGUCCAUGUUCAAUGAACCUACUUCCAAAAUACGGAGUACUACGUAUAUCCAAACUCAUGAAGAUGAUGCUAACAGAGCUGUACUGACCUUCCAUAUUAGUAAAUCAUUCAGUACUACCACUGAAUCUAGCAAGUGAUACCAGAAGCUCUGACAGAAGCACAUACCGAAAAUAAGGUGUCCCAAUUGCUGAAACCUGAAUGACACUAUAACAUACUGCUACUAGAGACCAAUUAACACAUCCUACCAAAAUAAAUUUAAAUUUAAGAAAUUUUUAUUUUACUUCUGUGUGAAAUUAUACGCCGGCCUAAGAAUCGCAGAUCCCCUUUUCACUGUUCAAAUCGUUUAGGUGAAGCCUCUCAACAGCACCAAUUAUUGCACGUUCCCCUGCUUUCUGUUCAUGUGUAUACUAAACCAUGGCACGUUGACUAACAAAGUUCCCAAUUUACGCAACAGAUUGGAAUAUACUAGUCGCAAGAAUCUUCACUUAAAACCGUUAGUAUCCACCGAUAAUACUGCAAAAAGGAAACAAAAUAGAAGCAGCAGCAGCAGCAGAUGAGUCGAGGAUGCUUUGCUUACCACAGCCGCCCUGGUCCUUGACGGCACCAACUGCGCCCUUCUUCCUCCAGUCGACGGACUCGGGCAGCUCGUCGUUGUCGGCGGCCUGGUACCUGGCGCUGAGCUUCCGCUCCCGGUCGGGCUUAGUGCGGGCGCCGAGGUAGGUGCUGCGGUACUCCUCGUUGGUGAGGUCGGCGAAGCGGUUGAGGCCGAGGCGGAAGGAGUGGACCCCGGCGUCGGCGGCGGCGUUGUGCUGGUCGAUGUAGCGGAGGUUGUCCCGGAACGCCUCGAAGCGGCGCUCCUCCUCGCCGAUGGCGUUGUACGUACUGCCGUGCUCCGCCAUCCACUCGGCGUACAUCCGCCGGACCUCCUCCUCGCUCCGCUCCCCGUAGGACACGAUCGACAUGUCCGCCGCCGCCGCCAGCGACACCAUCAGCAGCAGCGCCGCCGAGGCCGCCAGCAGAGCCAUGGAGGUCCUCAUCCCCGAGACCAGAGGUGCGUCACCGAGCAGGAAGAGAGGGGUAGCAGAUGGGAUGGAUUGGGUAGCAGCCGUGCUUUUCUUCUCCAUGGACGAUGGUAUCGGAGGUCGCUUUAUAGGAA
Molecule: long non-coding RNA, 1311 nt
Filed under: Hordeum vulgare
Lineage: Eukaryota; Viridiplantae; Streptophyta; Magnoliopsida; Poales; Poaceae
Description: long non-coding RNA (HVUL_LNC005807)
Source: RNAcentral